RNAcentral lists this ribosomal RNA (492 nucleotides) under uncultured bacterium. RNAcentral describes it as "partial 16S ribosomal RNA". It matches the Rfam family "Bacterial small subunit ribosomal RNA", at positions 29 to 507 of the family's 1533-position model. The record is from RNAcentral.
AGUGAACGCUGGCGGUAGGCCUAACACAUGCAAGUCGAACGGCAGCACAGUAAGAGCUUGCUCUUACGGGUGGCGAGUGGCGGACGGGUGAGGAAUACAUCGGAAUCUACUUUUUCGUGGGGGAUAACGUAGGGAAACUUACGCUAAUACCGCAUACGACCUACGGGUGAAAGCAGGGGAUCUUCGGACCUUGCGCGAUUGAAUGAGCCGAUGUCGGAUUAGCUAGUUGGCGGGGUAAAGGCCCACCAAGGCGACGAUCCGUAGCUGGUCUGAGAGGAUGAUCAGCCACACGGGAACGUGGACACGGUCCAGACGCCUACGGGAGGCAGCAGUGGGGAAUAUUGGACAAUGGGCGCAAGCCUGAUCCAGCCAGACCGCGUGGGUGAAGGAGGCCUUCGGGGUGUAAAGCCCUUUUGUUGGGAAAGAAAAGCAGCAGGUUAAUACCCCGCUGUUCUGACGGUACCCAAAGAAUAAGCACCGGCUAACUUCGUG